Molecule: ribosomal RNA, 266 nt
Filed under: uncultured bacterium
Lineage: Bacteria
Description: partial 16S ribosomal RNA
Rfam family: Bacterial small subunit ribosomal RNA
Source: RNAcentral
GUCCUAGCUGUAAACGAUGGGUACUAGGCAGCGGGGCCCGAUGCCCUCGCUGUCGAAGCGAAUGUGCUAAGUACCCCGCCUGGGGAGUACGGCCGCAAGGCUGAAACUCAAAGGAAUUGACGGGGGCUCACACAAGCGGUGGAGCAUGUGGUUCAAUUCGAAGCAACGCGCAGAACCUUACCAGGGUUUGAAAUGCACGGAUUAGUCUCCUGAAAGGGAGGUGACGCCUUUUGGUGGAACGUGCACAGGUGUUGCAUGGCUGUCGU